UACGUAGGGCGCAAGCGUUGUCCGGAAUUAUUGGGCGUAAAGAGCUCGUAGGCGGCCUGUUACGUCUGCUGUGAAAUCCCGGGGCUUAACCCCGGGCGUGCAGUGGAUACGGGCAGGCUGGAGGCAGGCAGGGGAGAACGGAAUUCCCGGUGUAGCGGUGAAAUGCGCAGAUAUCGGGAGGAACACCUGUGGCGAAAGCGGCUCACUGGACCAUAACUGACGCUGAUGCACGAAAGCUGGGGGAGCAAACAGG
This 253-nucleotide ribosomal RNA is filed under the name uncultured bacterium. Its description in RNAcentral is "partial 16S ribosomal RNA". It matches the Rfam family "Bacterial small subunit ribosomal RNA", at positions 524 to 776 of the family's 1533-position model. The record is from RNAcentral.